GUGUCAGCCGCCGCGGUAAUACAGAGGUCUCAAGCGUUGUUCGGAUUCAUUGGGCGUAAAGGGUGCGUAGGCGGCGGGGCAAGUCAGGUGUGAAAUCCCGGAGCUCAACUCCGGAACUGCACUUGAUACUGCCUCGCUAGAGUACUGGAGAGGAGACUGGAAUUUACGGUGUAGCAGUGAAAUGCGUAGAGAUCGUAAGGAAGACCAGUGGCGAAGGCGAGUCUCUGGACAGUUACUGACGCUGAGGCACGAAGGCCAGGGGAGCAAACGGGAUUAGAUACCCCGGUAGUCC
Molecule: ribosomal RNA, 292 nt
Filed under: uncultured bacterium
Lineage: Bacteria
Description: partial 16S ribosomal RNA
Rfam family: Bacterial small subunit ribosomal RNA
Source: RNAcentral